This is a non-coding RNA of Oryza barthii, 187 nucleotides long. Lineage: Eukaryota; Viridiplantae; Streptophyta; Magnoliopsida; Poales; Poaceae. The record is from Rfam.
AAUAAGUACAGCCAUGGGUUUCCGCGUCCAACUUUGAUCGUGCGUUUUAUUUAAAUUUUUUUUAUAAUUAGCAUUUUUAUUGUUAUAAGAUAAUAAAACAUGACUUAUGUUUUUAAAUUUUUUCAAAAAAAUUUUAAAUAAGACGAAUGGUUAAAGUUGGACGCUGAAAACCAUCGUUGUACUUAUU